GCUUGAUGGAGCAGUGUAGGCACUAAUGUGUGGGUGCAGGUGUGACUGAAAAAAAAUGAGACCAUAGGUAUAAAUUCAGCCAGUGCUGCUCAGAAAUCUGCUUAAAUUUCCUUACUGAAGAGCUCUAUCAAAUUUGCUAGUUGUGUAAGGGUGGGUUGUUGUUGUUAUAGUUUUCAGGAUGAGAACACAAUGUUAUUUCAUAAACCAGCUUGGCAGCCUGAGGUAAAGGUGAGAGUGGUUUUCCUCCAAGGUGAAGGCAGUACUUUCUCACCUUAAAUGCUUGUAAUAGAUUUCAUCAGAAACUGUGGUUGUUCAUAGGAGAGGGCUCUUCAGCCAGCAAGAGGUUGCCUGAUAAGUGGAAUUUGCCGUUCAAAGAAGAGUUGUGGCAAAAGUUCCAAGCACUUGGAGCUAUGCUGUCAAAUACAGGAUGGAGAUUUUAAAGACAUUACAAUUGACAUUGAAUUCAGUGGUCAUUGCAGACUCGAUUAGGAUUUGGGACUAUUCAGCGCUCCAAUAAGAACAAGCCUUGUGUUUACAACAAUGCUUUGGAGGUACUUCAGGCUGUGAAGUACAUAUGAAGCUACCCCAGAAUAAAGCAGUCUGGCUGAUGGAGUGAUCCACAACCACUCCCUGAGUCAUCAUUCAUACUGCACAGAGACUGGAUUAAAAAUGUUCAUAAAUGAAAUUAAUGAGGAAUAACUCCACUGAAGCAAUUGUAUUCAGGAGCUAUUAGUAACGUGCAUGCUGGGAUUUGUGGGCUGAGAAGUCCUACUUGUUCUGGUGAGGAUCAUGCAUGUCUUCACUAACGGAGAGCGUGGAUGGUAAUACAGAAAUGCUGGGUGAAUGCCAGAACACUGCAUGUUUUGGAAGAGCCUCCCUUCCACUCUACUUGGAAGCUGUAUUAGGUAAUGAGAAAAUCAGUUUAGUAUCCAGCUAAUAAAGGGAUGGGGGGGGAAGGAGAAAUAAGGAAAGGGGAAGCAUUCAUGGGGCCCUGUGGAGUCUUUCAUGAUGGAAAAUGGAAAAGAUCCAUGCUUUGAUGCCUGAUAUUCUUCAACCUGUGAAAUAAAGGAAGCAUUCUGAAACUUUAAGCCAUGUUUACAUUCAUAUACUUAGUUUUACUCAUGUCCUCAUAAAUAAGUUAUCUUUAACUGCAACCAAAAAAAAGGAUCUUAUACAGUUUAGUACUACCUUAUGGCUGACAUUGAUUUAAAACACUCCAUAAGGGGCACAGUACUGCAGGAUCAAUUAGAAGUAAAUGCAGUCAUGAAAGUUGCAUGAAGUAGUGUCUGCCAGAGCCUUGCAGACACUUCUUCAUAAGCUGUUUGCCACCUUAACUAAACAGAAAAAGCACCUACAUAUUUAGUUGAUUUUAUAUAAUUAAUAUACAUGUAUGGUGGCUUUAUGAGGGAAAGC
Molecule: non-coding RNA, 1413 nt
Organism: Anas platyrhynchos (mallard)
Lineage: Eukaryota; Metazoa; Chordata; Aves; Anseriformes; Anatidae
Source: RefSeq, a predicted model, not a curated record